RNAcentral lists this small RNA (726 nucleotides) under Pongo abelii (Sumatran orangutan). RNAcentral's name for it is "retained intron". The record is from RNAcentral. Lineage: Eukaryota; Metazoa; Chordata; Mammalia; Primates; Hominidae.
CUUGAAAAGCACUUGCUAUUGAUCUGUCACAUAGCUGGCCAAAGGUGACUUGAUUCAGAUGAAAAUAGUUAGUUAGUAGUUGAGGUUAUUCUUGUUUCAUUACUUCUGUUUCUCUCAGUCUUUCUUGAAUGUUCUGUUUUACUUGUAGAACUGACACAUGAGUUUCUACAGAUUUUGGAGAAAACUCCCAACAGGCUCAAACGCAUUUGGAAUUGGAGGGCAUGCGAGGCUGCCAAGAAAACAAAAGCAGAUGACCGAGGAACAGAUGAAAAGACUUCAGAGCAGACAAUCCUCAAUAUGAUUUCCCAGAGCUCUUCAGACACAACCAUUGCAGGUUUAAUGAGCAUGUCAACUUCUACCACAAGUGCAGUGCCUUCCCUGCCAGUCUCCGAAGAGUCAUCCAGCAACUUAACCAGUGUGGAGAUGUUGCCGGGCAAGCGUUGGCUGUCCUCCCAACCUUCUUUCAAACUAGAACCUACUCAGGGUCAUCGGACUAGUGAGAAUUUAGCACUUACAGGAGUUGAUCAUUCCUUACCACAGGAUGGUUCAAAUGCAUUUAUUUCCCAGAAGCAGAGUAGUAAGAGUGUGCCAUCAGCUAAAGUGUCACUGAAAGAAUACCGCGCGAAGCAUGCAGAAGAGUUGGCUGCCCAGAAGAGGCAACUGGAGAACAUGGAAGCAAAUGUGAAGUCACAGUAUGCAUAUGCUGCCCAGAAUCUCCUUUCUCAU